RNAcentral lists this unclassified non-coding RNA (8704 nucleotides) under Hevea brasiliensis (rubber tree). The record is from RNAcentral. Lineage: Eukaryota; Viridiplantae; Streptophyta; Magnoliopsida; Malpighiales; Euphorbiaceae.
UCGGCGUUCCCAACCGGCGGCGUAUAGGCUUUUUAUGGAACUUCUUAAGAGACAUGCAUUUUCGCUGAAAAGUCAAACUAAUGCUCCACAUUAUUUAAAGGUCAUGAAAUCGAUAGAUGCUGUUCUCCAUUUAUCCCAGAAUUUUGGUCUGCAAGCUAGUAAUCCUGGGAUCCUCAUCGUUGAGUUUAUCUAUUCAAUUGUGUGGCAGUUGCUUGAUGCAUCAUUGGAUGAUGAAGGGUUGCUGGAACUUACCCUGGAGAAGAAGUCUGGAUGGGCAACAAAACUUCAAGAAAUGGAAAUUGAUGGUCAUGAAAAUUAUGAUGAGAAGAGGGCUGAGCAUCUUGAGAAAUUACAAAAUCUAAAUACAGAAAUGGCUAUCGAGAUAAUUGGUCUAUUUCUAAAAACUAAGCUGACUUCAAGGAUCCUUUACUUGGCACGACAGAACUUGCCUGCACAUUGGUCAAGAUUCGUCCAAAGAUUACAGCUUCUUGGAGCUAAUUCAGCAGCAUUAAGAAAUUUAAAAACUUUGACAGCUGAGGGUCUUCUGCAGUUGACUUCAGAAACUCAUUUAGUAUUGACUCAAGGAUCAAAAACAAGUUCACUGCAAAAGUUUCAUGCUGUUAUGGCUUUGGGAUCUUUAGUGUCUUCUGCAGGUCUUUGUCAUGGAGCUAGUCGUUCUGCUCUUUGGCUUCCUCUUGAUCUUGCAUUAGAAGAUGCCAUGGAUGGGUAUCAGGUUAAUGCAACAAGUGCCAUUGAAAUCAUAACUGGUUUAACUAAAACCCUUCAAGCAAUAAACAACACCACAUGGCACGACACCUUUUUAGGUCUUUGGAUUGCAGCUCUCCGUCUUGUUCAAAGGGUUAGAAUUUGUUAUGUUUAACUUAAAACUCUCUGUUUCUAGUACUGUAAAAGGAAAGAAAUACACACAAAACGCGCUCACGCACAUUUGAGUAUAAAGGAAAGAAAAAUAUUUAGGAACUUAAAAAAUGCUAUGUUUAAUUGUAAAUUACUUAUUGGAGCAUUCAAGUUGGAACUCAAGUCAUUGUAUGUUGUGUGGUCUCAAAUGGAAGUUUUAAGAGAGAAGGGAGGGAGGCACUGUUACAAGUAAUUAUUGCGUUGGUUGGUCAAAUGCCUUGUUAGUUGAAUUCAGUAUCUGGCUAUCUAAAUUUCUUUUGUCAUUAAGGGCUGAGCUAAAUACUGAAGGAGGCCCAUGACCUAUAUUUCAAAAUUUAGUGACCUUAUUGUUGCGCCAGGUCUUGCUUUAUUCUAGAGGCUUCAUAUUUGUUAUGUGGAAAAAAUGAAUGUUAUUUUUCCAGAGCUUCUUAUUCAAUAUAAGAACUUAUUUUUGUAGCUUAUUAAUAAGUCUUCUUAAUUUUCAGGAAAGGGAUCCCAUCGAGGGCCCUAUUCCUCGCCUAGACACUUGCUUAUGCAUAUUACUAUCCAUCAUACCCCUUGUGGUUGCUGAUCUUAUUGAGGAAGAAGAAAAUGUGCCCAUUGAGGAAUCAGAAUGGGUUUCCACAAAUCAUUGGAAGGGAAAAAAGGUUCCUGGAAAGCGCCGAAAUGACUUGGUCUCCAGCUUACAGUUACUGGGUGAUUACCAAGGCUUGCUGAGUCCACCUCAAUCUGUUGUUUCAGCAGCCAACCAAGCUGCUGCGAAAGCCAUGUUGUUCAUUUCAGGAAUCAAUGUUGGGAGUGCAAACUUCGAGUGUAUCAACAUGAACGACAUGCCAAUCAAUUGUUGUAAGUUAUUUCCAGUUCUUAUUCAGUGUGAUGGAUUUUGCUUUCUUCAAUGUGAGUAUACUUUUUGUAUCUGCUUUUGUGCUCCGUGAAGUUUCCUUAGAUGUACUGGGUACUUGGAGGUUGAUGUCCAAAGCAGCAAUAUACAGUGGGUUGGUAGCUUCUACUGGUUAUUCUAUCUGUUACCUGACCAAAAGAAAAAAAAAAUUUGGAACAUAACUUUUUGUAUUGUGUGAAAAUUCUUUUUAGCAACACAUGCUUAAUGGAAGAUUAGUAUGAAAUAUAUAGCCAUGGAUACUAAAGUUUUCUUUGGUUCACAUAUAUUCCCACAUAUCCAUGAAAACCUGAGAGAAUUGCAGAUCCUUUCCGGAAGAAUGGUCUUCCAAUAUCUUAGAUGAAAAUAGAAGAAAUGUCUACAAAUCAAGAAAUUGUAAAGUGCAGUAUACCUGCAAGUGCAUGUACAUGCAUUAGAGUGUACACACAAUGAGAAGCAAGCAUCUUGCCUUUGCUUUGAAUUGGAAUGCAGAAAAAGUUUAUGCGUGGGCAAAGAUCAAUCUGAUUCUGAGGAUAAUAAGAAAAAACUAUACUGUUGAACCACAAUAAAAAAUAUAUUUAUGUACUAAAACAUAGUGGUUGAUCCAAUUCCUGUGAACACAACAUCCCCAGCUUGCAUGAGAAAUUAAAUCUGGACUCUGAGUUGGACUGGUUGAAUUAUUUGCUUUAUUGUGAACUUUGCAGUUUCUAUUUGUUUUCUCAUUGAUGGCCAGCUUAGCUGAUUCAUUUAACAUCAUUUUCUGUUUGUGAUGUUGGUCAAAGUUUUCUUCAAUCAGUCUACUUUAACCUUGAGCUGAUGAUUUACUAUGCUAAUAUUUUCAACAUACUUUUGAGGUUUCUUAAUGUUGCUGUAUGCUAUUCUUUCAGCUGGAAACAUGCGCCAUCUGAUCGUUGAAGCUUGUAUUGCCAGAAACCUAUUGGACACAUCAUCAUAUUUUUGGCCAGGUUAUGUGAAUGGAUCCAUCAGCCAAAUACCUCACAGUGUGCCAGCUCAGGUGCCUGGUUGGUCGUCAUUCAUGAAGGGGGCCCUACUUACCCCGGUGAUGAUCAGUGCCCUGGUUUCAAGCCCUGCUUCAAGGUAUAUCAGAUGCUCUUUUUUGUAAACUAACCAAGGGUAAAGCAACUGAAUUUUAAGCUCAUGGAUUUGAUGGAAGUUUAGCAGAGCUUGAGAAAGUGUAUGAGCUUGCUGUCAACGGGUCAGAUGAUGAGAAGAUAUCUGCUGCUACAAUUCUUUGUGGGGCUUCUCUUCUUCGGGGUUGGAACAUACAGGAACAUACUGUUCAUUUUAUUACUAGAUUAUUGUCUCCUUCAGUUCCUGUGGAUUAUUCUGGGGUUGACAGUCAUUUGAUAAGCUACGCUCCAAUCCUCAAUGUACUUAUUGUUGGACUAGCAUCUGUUGAUUGUGUUCAGAUCUUCUCACUACAUGGCUUGGUCCCACAACUUGCAUGCUCAUUGAUGCCGAUUUGUGAGGUUUUUGGGACAUGUGUGCCAGAUGUCUCGUGGACUCUGCCCACAGGGGAAGAAAUCUCUGCCCAUGCUGUGUUUUCAAAUGCAUUUGCACUUCUUUUGAAGCUAUGGAGGUUUAAUCAUCCUCCUCUUGAACAUGGAGUUGGAGAUGUACCUACAGUUGGAUCCCAGCUGACCCCUGAAUACAUCCUAUCAGUACGAAACUCUUACUUAGUCUCCUCUGGAAAUGUCUAUAAGGAUAGAAACAAAAGGAGGCUUUCUUCAGUUGCAACUUCAUCAUCUCUAAAACCAAUAUUUGUGGACUCAUUUCCAAAAUUGAAAGUCUGGUAUCGGCAGCAUCAAAAAUGCUUAGCAUCUACCCUCUCUGGUCUUGUUCAUGGAACUCCUGUUCAUCAGAUCGUCAAUGUGCUUCUUAACAUGAUGUUCAGAAAGAUUAAUAGAGGGAGCCAGUCUUUAACUACUAUUACUUCUGGAAGUAGUUGCUCAUCUGGAUCUGGAAAUGAGGAUUCUUCUCUAAGGCCUAAAUUGCCGGCCUGGGACAUCUUGGAGGCUGUUCCUUUUGUGGUUGAUGCAGCAUUGACAGCCUGUGCCCAUGGAAGGCUUUCUCCACGCGAAUUGGCUACAGGUCAGUCUGGUGUAUCCCUCUGAUUUCAUUUUUGUAAACAGGCUCUUUUGGAUAAACUAACAUAUCUGUGGAGCUGCUAUUCAGAAAAGUUAUGCCUGAGAGUCUGAUGGCUGCUGGCAAUACUUCCCUGUGAUUUUUUAUGGUGGCUUGUAGCUUAGAUUUUCUAAAAUGACCCUUAUCACCCUUACUUAGUUGAUAAAUCCCUCAAUCACAGUGAAAAUGAGCCACUGUAUAGCUCUUAUCAAUUGUGCUGUCGUAACCUGCAAUUUUUUGAACUCACAGGGCUUAAAGAUUUAGCUGACUUUCUUCCUGCAUCCUUGGCAACCAUUGUGAGCUACUUCUCAGCUGAAGUAAGUCGAGGCGUUUGGAAGCCAGUAUAUAUGAAUGGUACUGAUUGGCCAAGUCCUGCAGCAAACUUAUCCAAUGUUGAGGAAAAGAUCAAGAAAAUCUUGGCUGCUACUGGUGUUGAUAUCCCAAGCCUUGCAGCAGGUAUAAUUUUUCUGCCAUCACAUUUUCUGUAUGCUUGUGAAGUUAUAAUUAUUUUGAGGACUUUACAUGUCCAGAAAAUGAAAAGAAAGGGUCGGGGCAAUGGAGAAUCGUCCACCAGAGCAUAUCUGGCAUAUAUACAUAUAGUUCAAAGUAGUGAUAUCCAGAUUUAGAAGCAUUAACUUCCUACUUUAUAUGGUCACAGUUUGUAUAGAAAUGAUUAUUGGCGAUUAAACUGGCAUCAUAAAAUCUCAUGUUUUAUUUAUCUACAAUACAAAGGGUUUCUUUGAUAUUUUACAAAAGACAUCAUUAUCACAGGAGGGAGUUCUCCAGCUACACUUCCCUUGCCUCUGGCUGCUUUUGUGAGCCUCACCAUAACCUAUAAAAUUGACAAAGCCUCAGAACGAUUUCUCAAUUUGGCUGGUCCAGCAUUGGAGUCACUUGCAGCUGGGUGCCCUUGGCCUUGCAUGCCAAUAGUGGCUUCGCUGUGGACCCAAAAGGCAAAGCGCUGGUUUGACUUCCUUGUGUUUUCUGCAUCUCGUACUGUCUUCCUCAACAACAGUGAUGCAGUGUUUCAGCUUCUUAAAAGCUGCUUCACUGUCACCCUCGGUCUUGGUCCCACAGAUAUCUCAAGCAAUGGUGGUGUUGGAGCACUUCUUGGCCAUGGAUUUGGUUCUCAUUUUCGUGGUGGGAUUUCUCCUGUUGCCCCUGGAAUUCUUUAUCUGCGUGUUUACCGAUCCGUUAGAGAAAUUGUGUUCAUUACAGAAGAAAUUAUCUCUCUCAUAAUGCAUUCAGUGAGAGAAAUAGCUUGCAGUGGACUUCCUAGAGAAAAAUUAGAGAAAUUGAAGAUAACAAAUAAUGGACUGAGAUGUGGACAGGUUUCUUUCACUGCAGCAAUGACUCGGGUGAAACUUGCUGCUUCACUGGGAGCUUCUUUAAUAUGGUUAUCGGGUGGCGUGGGUUUGGUUCAGUCAUUGUUCAAAGAAACUUUGCCUUCUUGGUUUAUUGCUGUUCACAGGUGUGACCAGGAAGAAGGACCUGAAGGGAUGGUUGCCAUGCUUGGGGGAUAUGCACUUGCUUAUUUUGCCGUACUUUGUGGAGCUUUUGCUUGGGGAGUUGACUCGUCAUCAUCGGCAUCAAAGCGGCGUCCUAAAGUCCUUGGUGUGCACCUGGAAUUUCUAGCAAGUGCACUUGAUGGAAAGAUAUCACUCGGUUGUGAUUGGGCAACUUGGCGGUCAUAUGUGUCAGGGUUUGUGAGCCUAAUGGUAGGUUGCACACCUUCUUGGGUGCUGGAGGUGGAUGCAGAUGUUCUGGAGAGACUGAGCAAGGGAUUGAGGCAGUGGAAUGAGGAGGAGCUUGCCCUGGCUUUGCUGGGAGUUGGAGGAGUUGAGACAAUGGGUGCUACCGCUGAACUGAUAAUUGAGGAACAAUGAUUUACAAUUCUUUAUCCAAUUCCAUUUUUAACUUGUCUAGGUUAGCAGUUUUACUCUUUUAACAUGUAGUUGUACAUUAGCUUACUUGCUGGAAUUUUGUGCAGUAACAAACUUUGGUAGUCCUAGUAUGUACAAAUGGAAGAUUUUCAGCUCUUAGUGAAGGGAUAGUUUGUGAAAAAAGGUUUGUUACGCAACAAAAGGUCUUAAGCACGAAGACUGAAAUCUGCAGGAAGAAUAAAGUGGAUCCUGUACAUAGGAAAGACCUGGACAUCUAGCGGGAUCCAUCAGGCGUAUUGAUCGAAUUGCGUCUCUGCAACUCACACACGUACUAACUAUUAAGUUUAUCAUUAUUAAAGGGAUUAGCAUGCUAGCCUCUCGUUGCCUGCAAGAUCAAAUACCAGAGGGAAGGGGGGCAAUAAAAAUGCCUAUUUUGUAGAUUUAUAUAGGAAAAAAAGUACUAAUAUCAUCAAGAUAGUAACUUUGUUAACCUUCAGAUUAACAUCGGAUUCCCUUUACUAACCUCUCAUGGAAAUAAUUCAAUUACAGUUUUGUGCAAACGUCACACCACAUAAAUUAAGAAAGAGAAGUAAAAACUAUCAACUUUAAGAGGAAAAAAUGUGGUGUCAUUCCAGGUUAGAAGCUGUAAUCUGGAAGUUGUUUCAGUCAAAGGCUUAUCAUGUAACACCACUGUAACCUGGCAAUCUCUGCAUUCUAUGACUUCGCAUUGCUCUCCUCACUAAAAAUGCAUCCUCCCACUUCCCUGCAUCUGCAUAUAUGCUGGAUAAAAGAACUCUGCUUGCCCCAUGAGAUGGUUCCAAUCUUGCCAAAUUUUCAGCAGCCCUUUCUCCUACAUCCACAUUCCCAUGAGUUCUGCAUGCUGCUAACAAUGUGCCCCAUAUCACAACAUCUGCCCUCACGGGCAUGCUCCUUAUCAUUUCCUCAGCUUCUUCCAGACGCCCUGCUCUACCCAAGAGAUCCACCAUACAACCAUACUGCUUGAUAUCCGGAUUGAUAUUAUGUACACUCUUCAUGCUCGUAAAAUAUCUCUUCCCCCAGCUCUACGAACCCAGCAUGGCAACAUGCACUGAGGACUCCAAUGAAUGUGAUUGCAUGAAGCUUGAUAUGGCGCCUUUCCAAGUCUGAAAAUAUUUUAAGAGACAACUUUGCAUGUCCAUGCAUGGCCAACCCACAUAUAAUUGCAUUCCAUGGUGAAACGGUAGAUGCAGAAUCUCUGACUUCGUAGAACACCUCUAAGGCAGUGUUGAUGCUCCCACAUUUGGCAUACAUGUCAAUUAUUGCUGCACUUAAAUUGUCACUAAUAGGGAUGGAGUUACCACGCACAUAUUCAUGGGCCCAUCUUCCUUCUUUUAAUGUGCCUAAAGUAGCAAUUGCAGAAAGAACGCUCACCAUUGUUACUUCAUUCGGUUGGAUCCCACUAGCUACCAUCCCAUGGAAUAGUUCUAAUGCCAAAUUAGGUUGCUCGUUCUGUGUGUAACCAGACAUUAUUGUGCUCCAUGAAAAAACAUCUCUCUCAGGCAUCUCAUUGAACAAUUGCCUCGCUUGAUCAAUCAUUCUAUUCUGUAUAAAUCCUGCAAUAAGAGCAUUCCAAGAAGCAAUACUACCGAUUCCAAUUGCAAACAAGCCUCACUGAUCAUGCCACAAGCUGCAUAAAAAUGGAUAACAGUUGCCUGUACAAAAUCAUAACAGUCCAAACCCACUUUUACAAUGGUACUGUGUAAUUGCUGACCCAUGCCAAUCGCCAUUGUUCUCCCACAUGCAGAAAUCAAAUCAACCAUCAUAACAUCAUUAGGUCCCAACCCUUUAGAUACCAUCGAUCGAUAGGUUAUGAAAGCUUCACUUAACUUUCCUACUCGAACAUAACCAUCAAUUAUAGUACACCAUGAAACUACAUCUUUACACGGGAUCCUCUCAAAAACUUCUUUAGCCAAAUCAAUAAACCCUGCUUUUGAAUAGCCAUUUAACAUUACAUUCCAUGAAACCAUAUUUCUUUCAGGCAUCUCAUCAAACAAAGCUCUCGCUUCAACUAAACUUGAACAAACACAAUACAUAUGCAACAAAUUAGUUGAAAUCAGAACAAACCCACUAAACAUCAUCUUGAUCACCAAUCCAUGAAGCAUUCUACAGCCCCAAAUCUCACCUAGAUGAGAAGAAGCGGAGAUCAAAGUUGCCAAAGUCACUUCAUUAGGAACCACGCCCACAUUUCUCAUCUGCUUAUACAGGCCAAUUGCGUCAAUCCAACAAUCAUUUUGGACAAAACCCAUCAUCAUAGUAGUGUACGAAACACAACCUUUUGUAGGCAUUACCUCAAAUAACUUGCGGGCAUCAUCUAAUUUUCCAGAUUUCACAUAACCAGCAAUCAUUAUAUUAUAGGGCACAGGAUCCGAACUGGCACAUGAUUCAAACAAGGAAUUAGCAUCAGCUAAAAUCCCACAUUUGGCAUACAAGCUAAUCAAACUGUUGUGUAUGAACGUGUUUGAAUCAAGGCCGGAUUUCAGAACAAGGCAAUGGAUUUGUUGGCCUUCAUAGAUAGCCAAAUGUGUUGAACAAAAUUUUAGAGCCGAAACCAAAGCCAGCUCGUAAUUGGAAUCCUUUUGGUAUGUUGUGAGAUUGACGAGAGCAUGGAGAUGAAGUAGUGGGUUUUCUCGUUGCUGGGACAACGGCGGGGUUUGGAAAGUUUUGGUAGAUAACCGUUUGAGAGUGGACGCCGGUGAGACAAAAGGAGAAGAGAUGAAAAAACGGAGAAGAGUUUCGAAUUUUGAAGACAGGAUCAUGACUCAUGAGACGGGAUCAUGACUCAUGAGACGAUACCAUGAGAACCUUUUAACGGAUUUUGGAGGGAAUUUUUAACGGAUUUUGGAGGGAAACAACUACUGGGUUCUAC